This 406-nucleotide ribosomal RNA is filed under the name uncultured bacterium. RNAcentral describes it as "partial 16S ribosomal RNA". It matches the Rfam family "Bacterial small subunit ribosomal RNA", at positions 30 to 526 of the family's 1533-position model. The record is from RNAcentral.
AUUGAACGCUGGCGGCAGGCCUAACACAUGCAAGUCGAACGAGUGGCGGACGGGUGAGUAAUGUCUGGGAAACUGCCUGAUGGAGGGGGAUAACUACUGGAAACGGUAGCUAAUACCGCAUACCAUCAGAUGUGCCCAGAUGGGAUUAGCUAGUUGGUGUGGUAACGGCUCACCAAGGCGACGAUCCCUAGCUGGUCUGAGAGGAUGACCAGCCACACUGGAAUUGAGACACGGUCCAGACUCCUACGGCAGGGAGCCGUGGGGAAUAUUGCACAAUGGGCGCAAGCCUGAUGCAGCCAUGCCGCGUGUAUGCAGAAGGCUGUCGGGUUGUAAAGUACUUUCAUCGGGGAGGCGUUACCCGUAGAAGAAGCACCGGCUAACUCCGUGCCAGCAGCCGCGGUAAUUC